RNAcentral lists this ribosomal RNA (723 nucleotides) under uncultured bacterium. RNAcentral's name for it is "bacterial SSU rRNA". It matches the Rfam family "Bacterial small subunit ribosomal RNA", at positions 114 to 833 of the family's 1533-position model. The record is from RNAcentral.
CACGUAUCCAACCUGCCGUCUACUCUUGGUCAGCCUCCUUAAAGGAAGAUUAAUCCAGGAUGGGAUCAUGAGUUCACAUGUCCGCAUGAUUAAAGGUAUUUUCCGGUAGACGAUGGGGAUGCGUUCCAUUAGAUAGUAGGCGGGGUAACGGCCCACCUAGUCAACGAUGGAUAGGGGUUCUGAGAGGAAGGUCCCCCACAUUGGAACUGAGACACGGUCCAAACUCCUACGGGAGGCAGCAGUGAGGAAUAUUGGUCAAUGGGCGAUGGCCUGAACCAGCCAAGUAGCGUGAAGGAUGACUGCCCUAUGGGUUGUAAACUUCUUUUAUAAAGGAAUAAAGUCGGGUAUGCAUACCCGUUUGCAUGUACUUUAUGAAUAAGGAUCGGCUAACUCCGUGCCAGCAGCCGCGGUAAUACGGAGGAUCCGAGCGUUAUCCGGAUUUAUUGGGUUUAAAGGGAGCGUAGAUGGAUGUUUAAGUCAGUUGUGAAAGUUUGCGGCUCAACCGUAAAAUUGCAGUUGAUACUGGAUGUCUUGAGUGCAGUUGAGGCAGGCGGAAUUCGUGGUGUAGCGGUGAAAUGCUUAGAUAUCACGAAGAACUCCGAUUGCGAAGGCAGCCUGCUAAGCUGCAACUGACAUUGAGGCUCGAAAGUGUGGGUAUCAAACAGGAUUAGAUACCCUGGUAGUCCACACGGUAAACGAUGAAUACUCGCUGUUUGCGAUAUA